AUACUUAGCAAGCAGGGGAGAUACCAAGAUCAUGAAGGUAGUUUUCCCACAGCGAGGAGGUAUAAUGGAUGUACAUAAAGUACAUUCAGAGAAGCUUAAGAACCACUGCUGUAAAAUGUUAUCUGCAUUUUUAUUUGUUUAUUUUUUUAAUGCCAGGGGAAGAGCAUGAAUGCAGACCCCAC
Molecule: small nuclear RNA, 182 nt
Filed under: Otolemur garnettii (small-eared galago)
Lineage: Eukaryota; Metazoa; Chordata; Mammalia; Primates; Galagidae
Description: U1 spliceosomal RNA (ENSOGAG00000024025.1)
Source: RNAcentral